AUGGCGGCCCGCGUCGGCGCUGUCGUGCUCUGCAUGCUCUUGAUCGUCAGCGCGGGGCUCGUGGCCACGCCGACCGAAGCUCGCGCCGUGCCGGACGUCGUCUACGCUGCCGCGGCCGGCGGUGGCAUCCGUCGGGGCAGGUGGAACAGCGCGAGGAGGCUGGAGGGAGACGCCGCCCGGAAGCGGGAGGUGCCCGGCGGCCCAGACCCGCAGCACCAUCACUAG
This 225-nucleotide ribosomal RNA is filed under the name Triticum aestivum (bread wheat). Its description in RNAcentral is "partial small subunit ribosomal RNA". The record is from RNAcentral. Lineage: Eukaryota; Viridiplantae; Streptophyta; Magnoliopsida; Poales; Poaceae.